Molecule: ribosomal RNA, 381 nt
Filed under: uncultured bacterium
Lineage: Bacteria
Description: bacterial SSU rRNA
Rfam family: Bacterial small subunit ribosomal RNA
Source: RNAcentral
GAUGAACGCUAGCGGCAGGCUUAACACAUGCAAGUCGAGGGGUAGAAGGAGCUUGCUCCUUUGAGACCGGCGCACGGGUGCGUAACGCGUAUGCAAUCUACCUUUUGCAGAGGGAUAGCCCAGAGAAAUUUGGAUUAAUACCUCAUAGUAUGUGAGGAUGGCAUCAUUUUCACAUUAAAGUCACAACGGCAAAAGAUGAGCAUGCGUCCCAUUAGCUAGUUGGUAAGGUAACGGCUUACCAAGGCUACGAUGGGUAGGGGUCCUGAGAGGGAGAUCCCCCACACUGGUACUGAGACACGGACCAGACUCCUACGGGAGGCAGCAGUGAGGAAUAUUGGACAAUGGGCGCAAGCCUGAUCCAGCCAUGCCGCGUGCAGGAUG